CCACACCUAAAAAACUUUCCACGUGAACUGUCGUUAUUUGUUGUGUGUCUGCGCGUUGCUGGCGUGCGUUUGCUUACGCUUCGGUGUUUGCGAGUGCGUGCUGGCGGUGYGCGGACUGAACGAAGGUCGUGUUGCUGUGUGCCUGCUGCACUGCUGACUUUGCAUUGAUUUGCAUGGUCUUGGCGGAGCGGCGGGUGCUGUGCGUGCGCGGCUGACUUACUUUUUCAAACCCCAUACCUAACUUACUGAUUAUACUGUGAGAACGAAAGUUCUUGCUUUUAACUAGAUAACAACUUUCAGCAGUGGAUGUCUAGGCUCGCACAUCGAUGAAGAACGCUGCGAACUGCGAUACGUAAUGCGAAUUGCAGAAUUCAGUGAGUCAUCGAAAUUUUGAACGCAUAUUGCACUUCCGGGUUAUGCCUGGAAGUAUGUCUGUAUCAGUGUCCGUAAAUCAAACUUGCCUUUCUUCCUUCCGUGUAGUCGGUGGAGGAGAGUUGCAGAUGUGAAGUGUCUCGCUGUGGUUGGUAUAUUUGUUUAUGCACAACUUGCGAGUCCUUUUAAAUGGACACGACUUUCUCUUUUUUGUAUCUGCGCGGUGCUGUGCGUGAACGCGGUGGUUUUCGGAUCGCUCGCGGCUGUCGGCGACUUCGGUGAAUGCAUUAUGGAGUGGACCUCGAUUCGCGGUAUGUUGGGCUUCGGCUGGACAAUGUUGCUUAUUUGGGUGUCUGUUCCGCGUUCGCCUUGAGGUGUACUGGUGGCUGUGGGAUUGAACUGGUUACUGUUGUUAGUAGUUGGGCGACUCGUUGUCGUGGGUGCAUCUGUGUUUUUUG
This 830-nucleotide ribosomal RNA is filed under the name Globisporangium terrestre. RNAcentral's name for it is "eukaryotic LSU rRNA". The stretch from base 292 to 446 matches the Rfam family "5.8S ribosomal RNA". The record is from RNAcentral. Lineage: Eukaryota; Oomycota; Peronosporomycetes; Pythiales; Pythiaceae.